GUAGGGGGCUAGCGUUGUCCGGAUUUAUUGGGCGUAAAGAGCGCGUAGGCGGCUAGGUAAGUCCGACGUGAAAUCUGGAGGCUCAACCUCCAGCGGUCGUUGGAAACUACUUGGCUAGAGUCCGGAAGAGGAGAGUGGAAUUCCUGGUGUAGCGGUGAAAUGCGCAGAUAUCAGGAAGAACACCGAUGGCGAAAGCAGCUCUCUGGGACGGUACUGACGCUGAGGCGCGAAAGCGUGGGGAGCGAACAGGAUUAGAUACCCUGGUAGUCCACGCCGUAAACGAUGGGUGCUAGGUGUGAGCGGUGUCGACUCCGCUCGUGCCGAAGCUAACGCAUUAAGCACCCCGCCUGGGGAGUACGGCCGCAAGGCUAAA
RNAcentral lists this ribosomal RNA (373 nucleotides) under uncultured bacterium. Its description in RNAcentral is "bacterial SSU rRNA". It matches the Rfam family "Bacterial small subunit ribosomal RNA", at positions 527 to 898 of the family's 1533-position model. The record is from RNAcentral.